Molecule: long non-coding RNA, 781 nt
Organism: Drosophila albomicans
Lineage: Eukaryota; Metazoa; Arthropoda; Insecta; Diptera; Drosophilidae
Exons: 2
Source: RefSeq, a predicted model, not a curated record
UUGGGCGCUAGGUAAGUUUCUCCCUAGUUUCGAACCUUUGUUACAUUCCAAAGAAAGAAAAAUUCUUUAUCGUUAUAAAAUUUCAUUUAAUUUUAGUAUUGACGUGAGUUUAGUAUUAAAUUCCCCAGCAGAAAGUGCUCCACUCGAAAAGCAAUGAGUCGGUAUUCUCACGGUUGCCGGCCACGAGCGUCCGCUCCCGUUUUGCAAUAUCUGCAGCGCCACUGAUGCUUGCACUUUGAGUGAUGGACUACGGGAGCUCUUUGAUGCUUAGCCAACAGUUCAUAUGGGGAGAAUGAUGGCGGUAGCAGGUUGUUAACUUUAGUUAACAGUUCUCCGCCCUCUAAUAUAAAUUAUUUCGCUUAUUUUCUGAACAGCGUUAUUGUUGAAUGUGAGAAGUAGAGAAUUUUGACUGUUCAGGGUAAUGUAUACUCCAGGCAACUUGCUUUGCCUAUAGUGAAGACUUCCUCAUGAAAGAUGCUGGGCACAUUCUAUCUUCAAUUGCCAUCGUUAGAUGUAGGACAUUCCUAGAGGUGGGAUCUACAUAUGUAAGUGGGUACCUCCCCUCUGUUGGCUAAGAUCAAUUCCACCACCACCACCACAGAACAAGACUAAAAAUAAACAGUAAACGAGCUUGUAACUUCUUCCUUACGAAUAUCGAAUUUAUCGGUCUACUUAGCCCGUUGGUGCAGCGCACUCAUUAGAUGUUUGUUAACUCGCGGAUGGGUCCGUCUGCACGAACAGUGCCGCUCAGAAAUAUCUAAAAAAAAAAAAAAAAAAACAA